Molecule: ribosomal RNA, 775 nt
Filed under: uncultured Neocallimastigales
Lineage: Eukaryota; Fungi; Neocallimastigomycota; Neocallimastigomycetes; Neocallimastigales
Description: partial large subunit ribosomal RNA
Rfam family: Eukaryotic large subunit ribosomal RNA
Source: RNAcentral
AGAGAGAGACAUGCGCGCAUAUCAAUAAGCGGAGGAAAAGAAACUAACAAGGAUUCCCCUUAGUAACGGCGAGUGAAGCGGGAAGAGCUCAAAUUUGAAAUCUUCAAGGUUCUACCUUGACGAAUUGUAGUUUAUAGAAGUGUUUUCUGUUAGUGGAGUGGCAAAAGUUCUUUGGAAUAGGACAUCAUAGAGGGUGAGAAUCCCGUAUUUGGUCAUUCCUCCUAGCGUUGUGAUACACUUUCAACGAGUCGGAUUGUUUGGGAAUGCAGUCCAAAAUGGGUGGUAAAUUUCAUCUAAAGCUAAAUAUUGGCGAGAGACCGAUAGCGAACAAGUACCGUGAGGGAAAGAUGAAAAGAACUUUGAAAAGAGAGUUAAACAGUACGUGAAAUUGUCAAAAGGGAAGCGUUUGACACCAGUGUUGUUUUUCCGAAAAUCAAUUACGAAUGUUUUAUUUUUGAGGAGUUAUGACUUCAUCGGCUUGCUCCUUUCUUUACGAAACUUUCUUAAUGCACUUUUCGGUUAACAAGUCAACAUCAAUUUCUUUUGUUGUAAAGGGUAUGAGGAAGGUGGCUUUCUUUUCGGAGAGAAGUGUUUAUAGCCUUGUGCCUCUGCAAUCGGAGAGAUUGAGGUCUGCAGCGUAGAUCCUUCGGGGUUAGAUACGUUUGUGCUAAGUUAUAGCUUUUCAUAGACAACUUGUUGACUAUGUUUAGUCUUGUAGCUUACUCGCUGACGCUAUUUUACCUACGCUUAGGAUGUUGAUAGUCACAGCGUGUAC